This 460-nucleotide ribosomal RNA is filed under the name uncultured bacterium. RNAcentral's name for it is "partial 16S ribosomal RNA". It matches the Rfam family "Bacterial small subunit ribosomal RNA", at positions 338 to 795 of the family's 1533-position model. The record is from RNAcentral.
CCUACGGGAGGCAGCAGUGAGGAAUAUUGGUCAAUGGACGCGAGUCUGAACCAGCCAAGUAGCGUGAAGGAUGACUGCCCUAUGGGUUGUAAACUUCUUUUAUAUGGGAAUAAAAUGUUCCACGUGUGGGAUUUUGUAUGUACCUUAUGAAUAAGGAUCGGCUAACUCCGUGCCAGCAGCCGCGGUAAUACGGAGGAUCCGAGCGUUAUCCGGAUUUAUUGGGUUUAAAGGGAGCGUAGGUGGAUUGUUAAGUCAGUUGUGAAAGUUUGCGGCUCAACCGUAAAAUUGCAGUUGAAACUGGCAGUCUGGAGUACAGUAGAGGUGGGCGGAAUUCGUGGUGUAGCGGUGAAAUGCUUAGAUAUCACGAAGAACUCCGAUUGCGAAGGCAGCUCACUGGACUGCAACUGACACUGAGGCUCGAAAGUGUGGGUAUCAAACAGGAUUAGAUACCCCUGUAGUC